Molecule: ribosomal RNA, 519 nt
Filed under: Coxiella burnetii
Lineage: Bacteria; Pseudomonadati; Pseudomonadota; Gammaproteobacteria; Legionellales; Coxiellaceae
Description: bacterial SSU rRNA
Rfam family: Bacterial small subunit ribosomal RNA
Source: RNAcentral
AGUUCUCCGCCUGGGGAGUACGGCCGCAAGGUUAAAACUCAAAGAAAUUGACGGGGGCCCGCACAAGCGGUGGAGCAUGUGGUUUAAUUCGAUGCAACGCGAAAAACCUUACCUACCCUUGACAUCCUCGGAACUUGUCAGAGAUGAUUUGGUGCCUUCGGGAACCGAGUGACAGGUGCUGCAUGGCUGUCGUCAGCUCGUGUCGUGAGAUGUUGGGUUAAGUCCCGUAACGAGCGCAACCCUCGUCCUUAGUUGCCAGCGAGUCAAGUCGGGAACUCUAAGGAGACUGCCGGUGAUAAACCGGAGGAAGGUGGGGAUGAUGUCAAGUCAUCAUGGCCCUUACGGGUAGGGCUACACACGUGCUACAAUGGGCAGUACAAAGGGUUGCCAAGCCGCGAGGUGGAGCUAAUCCCAGAAAACUGCUCGUAGUCCGGAUUGGAGUCUGCAACUCGACUCCAUGAAGUUGGAAUCGCUAGUAAUCGCGAAUCAGCAUGUCGCGGUGAAUACGUUCUCGGGCCU